Long non-coding RNA from Chiroxiphia lanceolata (lance-tailed manakin), 122 nucleotides. RefSeq lists it as uncharacterized. Lineage: Eukaryota; Metazoa; Chordata; Aves; Passeriformes; Pipridae. The transcript has 4 exons. The record is from RefSeq and is a predicted model, not a curated record.
CUUCCCAUAUAAGGAAGUGCAACUCCACCUAUUGGAGUGGGUCCAGAAGAGGGUCAUGAUGAUGAUCAGAGGGCUGGUGUACCUCUCGUGUGAAGACAGGCUGAGAGAGUUGGGGUUAUUCA